CCUACGGGUGGCAGCAGUGAGGAAUAUUGGUCAAUGGUCGGGAGACUGAACCAGCCAAGCCGCGUGAGGGAUGAAGGUACAGAGUAUCGUAAACCUCUUUUGUCAGGGAACAAAGGCGGGGACGUGUCCCCGGUUGAGUGUACCUGAAGAAAAAGCAUCGGCUAACUCCGUGCCAACAGCCGCGGUAAUACGGAGGAUGCGAGCGUUAUCCGGAUUUAUUGGGUUUAAGGGGUGCGAGGGCGGGCUUUUAAGUCAGCGGUCAAAGCCUGGGGCUCAACCCCGGCCCGCCGUUGAAACUGGCAGUCUCGAGUUGGAUAGAGGUAGGCGGAAUGCGCGGUGUAGCGGUGAAAUGCAUAGAUAUCGCGCAGAACUCCGAUUGCGAAGGCAGCAUGCCGGCUCCACACUGACGCUGAGGCACGAAAGCGUGGGUAUCGAACAGGAUUAGAUACCCCAGUAGUC
Molecule: ribosomal RNA, 459 nt
Filed under: uncultured bacterium
Lineage: Bacteria
Description: partial 16S ribosomal RNA
Rfam family: Bacterial small subunit ribosomal RNA
Source: RNAcentral